Molecule: long non-coding RNA, 214 nt
Organism: Rhodamnia argentea
Lineage: Eukaryota; Viridiplantae; Streptophyta; Magnoliopsida; Myrtales; Myrtaceae
Exons: 2
Source: RefSeq, a predicted model, not a curated record
GAGCAUCGAUUUUUUUUUUUUUUUUUUGGUUUCCCUUCCUUUUCACCUGCUUUUGAUUCUUCGUUUCUUCGGAUAGUAGCAGGCCGACAAGAUUUUUGUUUGUGGGUGUGAGAUUCUCCGGGUUCGAUUCUUUGUGGAAAUUGUUUUCUAGUACGGCUCAGUUAGUCACCUUGAGAAUUUGAUGUGGUUGAGCAAAUUCAAAGUUCACAGGGGA